Long non-coding RNA from Cairina moschata (Muscovy duck), 2995 nucleotides. The record is from Ensembl. NCBI's taxonomy places the organism in Eukaryota, Metazoa, Chordata, Aves, Anseriformes, Anatidae.
GUCUUCCUAAUUACAUCCACAGGAAUUUCAGCAUGAAGCCGUGCUGCAGUCCCGGUUGUGUCGCUUUCCUGCUCGCCGUUUGGCUGCUGUUGAUUCCGGCUUUCUUGGUUAUUUUCCUUCCGAAUAAGUUAUUGCUGCUGCAGGGAAGGUGUCCCAUUGCUCAGGGCUAGAGCGGAGGGGAGCGAAGGGGAAGUUUCUUGGGAAGCACUCCCAUCGCGCUCGGAAAGAAAGUGGCUCAGUGUCCUCCUAAUGCAUUUCAUUUCCCCUCUGCCCUCUCCCCCUGCUAGGACUCACCAGAUCUUGGGAGUUUCUUGCUGCAUUAAUUUACUAAACUAAAAAAAAAAAAAAAAAAAGGGGGGGGGGGUGGAGAAGAGGGAGAGCAGAGGGGAGGGGGUAACUCAGCCUCUCCACCAUCCCAAGGCCCUCCUCUUAGCAGUGCUCAUUGGUCUCAGGGCUGAAAAAAAUACUCUAGGACGUGGUUGGAUAAACGCAUAUUGUUCAGCAGAGGCUGUUAACCUUUAAAGCGCUGAUACGUUUUGUUUUAUUUCAGCUUUUUUAACUCAAAUCGCUGUCUUUUUAAGAACACUCUGAAAUCGUCUCCCUUGACAUGGCAAGUGUAACGUGCCUUAAGUCUCCAUCUCGUGGAAGAUCUGCUUGACUAGCAUUUGCUAUGUGUUGCUGUUGGCUUUUAAGAAGCAUCUGUGUGUUGUUUCUCUCUUUUAUUUUUUCCUCUUUUUCUUUCUCUCUAUUUUUGCUUUUCUUUUUUCUUUUUCACCCAUUUUGCAAAGAGGUUUGGCAAACACCAGAGCCACCAAGGCUGGGGCAGGCUCUCCAUCAUUCCACUUAUACUGAUACUGUUGACCUGAGUUUCUUCUGUGCUUGUCUCCGCUCUACCAAAGUGCAGAAUUUUACCUGUCUCCAAUCACAGCCCUAUGACCCUUCCCUGGUCUGUGGGAUGCUGCCUCCAGUGCUGUCUGGUACAUCUGAAUAACAUGCUGGGAUGUUCGGUGGUGCUCCUGCCAGCAGCCGGUACAUCAGCUGCUCUGUCUUCACUGUGAAUUGAAGGGACAGGACACUCGAAGAGGAGCGACAGGCUUUCAGCCAGCACAGAUCCUCAGAGAAAUCAGUUGUUAUACAACUGGCCUCAGAAAGGCACCUAUCUGGGGUGAUCUGAGAGAUAGAGGUAACAGUGUGAAGGAUACAAUGGAAGGAGAAAUGGUCAAACUUGUGCACAAAGUCUGUGCAUUGUUUAUGAAACUUCCAGGCAUGCAGGACCUUACUUUGGUUAACACCUGCAGUUUUCCAAACGUUUGCCCCAAAACUCCAUCAGAUAGUGAGCUGCCAUCCAUUUACCUAAACAAAGCAUGCCAUCAGGGAUAGAAAGCUGAGUAGGUUUGCCCCUAUGUUUGCUAGAAAGCUUUGCCAUUAGGUUGCCGGAAAUAUCCAAACCUCUCCCGAAUGCCCCCCUGGCUUAGUGAGCCCAUGCUGAGGUUUACGGUAACUCCUGCAGAGCCCGUGGGAUUUGCAACAGGUUUGGCAGAAGAGGGUCUGCUGCUGAGUGAAAAGUGCUCCCCAAAUGCUUCCUGAUACUGUGAGGAUUAGUAACGAGCUUGUGAAGCUUGUUCUGCUGUAAGCUGCAUGCCAAAGGGAGGCUUUGUUUUCCUCAGUCUUUUUCAAUAAUUUCCCCCCUCUCUUUCUGUUUCUGCAUUUUUUUUUUUUUUUUCUCCUGGUUGUUGUCCCUCAGGGGAAAUGUCCUUAUGAGCCAGAACAAAAGACGGGAUGGAUUAUGAAUUUUUGUUAUUAGGAUCAUAAAGCCUUUUUCUCUUAUAAUUUCCCUCUCUCUUCCCUCAUGUUUUCAUGUUCAUCAUUUCCCUGCAUGAGCCUUCAUCACUGAGAACCACUGGGGUUUUACAUCUUUUUCUCCUUUCAUUCCAUGCAAAAUCCUAUUCAGAGUUAUUCAGUGCCUGCCCGGAGGUGAAGGAACACGGGGUGAGUUUGAGGAAACCCUUUCAUCUCCCAGUGAAAAUCCCCAAAUUAGAUUUUUACUCAUGGUUGCAUCCCAGGGGAUUACGGUACAAUAAUGUGGUGGUAGUGAUUUUGUUCAAGGAGGCAGCACUUUAGAUUUGCCAGGGAGUUUUGAUGUCUGAAUAAGCCAGCAGAAAGCUGGUAUCAGAGCUGCUGGAGUAUUUCCAGCUCCAGCUGCCAGGAAAGGGAUGAGACUCGAAACAUGAUUUCACUGGAGGCUCAAUCCUGCAGGUCCCACAAGGUGCUGGCACUCCGGUCCUGAUUUAGUAAAACACACUCAGGUUGGUAGUCCCAGGUGACCGCUCAAAAUGGUUAAAAACAAGCACGUGCUUAAGUGAACUGAUGGAUGGGGAGCCAGAGAACUCUGUACCUUACAGACGUCAACACUUCCAGUUUAGAAAAUACUGCAGUGGGGAAGAUGCUUUGGUUGGCAGGGCAAGGAUGUUUAGGAGAGGAAGAAAUUGUUUCUGUGAUUUCAGUGAGAGAUUCUGGCUAGUAUUUUGCAGGAGCCUGGAUCUGUGUUUUCCUGUAGGUCAAAGCAUUCAAUCACAAUUUAUCCAUGAACAACCACGUCACUCUUAUGACUAUUUGUGCUUCAAGUGGUUCACAAACUGUUUACUCUUUUUGUAUUAGAGUCUGUCUCCCUGUAUACUUAGUACUGAAAAUAUUAGGCUGCGCCCCCGUUCACUCAGGUCAUGCAGUGCUGCUUCUGUUCCCUAACUGAAUGCAUGCAACUCAAAAUAAAAUUUCUCUUGCAAAUGAUUGCCUUGUGACAAGUUCAGAAAGUGCUGUCUGGAAGCCUUCUUUGCUUUCUAUAUGAAAAAUAUCUGUCCUAAGAACAUGCCCACCUCCAAGUUUCUUGACUUAGAGUACCCUUAAAUAUGACUGGACACGAAGAAGACUUAAAUGGCUUCGUGUAAAAAAAUAAAAUAAAAUAAAAAGAGAAUAUAAAGAAAUGACCUUUUGUGCC